RNAcentral lists this ribosomal RNA (465 nucleotides) under uncultured bacterium. RNAcentral's name for it is "partial 16S ribosomal RNA". It matches the Rfam family "Bacterial small subunit ribosomal RNA", at positions 338 to 795 of the family's 1533-position model. The record is from RNAcentral.
CCUACGGGGGGCUGCAGUGGGGAAUAUUGCGCAAUGGGCGAAAGCCUGACGCAGCGACGCCGCGUGAGGGAUGAAGGUCUUCGGAUCGUAAACCUCUGUCAGCAGGGAAGAACGGUCACUGUGCUAAACAGCAGUGAAUUGACGGUACCUGCAAAGGAAGCACCGGCUAACUCCGUGCCAGCAGCCGCGGUAAUACGGAGGGUGCGAGCGUUAAUCGGAAUUACUGGGAGUAAAGCGCUCGUAGGCGGUAUGUCAAGUCAAGGGUGAAAGCCCCGCGCUCAACGUGGGAACUGCCUUUGAAACUGACAAACUGGAGUGUGUUAGAGGAUAGUGGAAUUCCAGGUGUAGGAGUGAAAUCCGUAGAUAUCUGGAGGAACAUCAGUGGCGAAGGCGACUAUCUGGCACAUAACUGACGCUGAGGAGCGAAAGCGUGGGUAGCAAACAGGAUUAGAUACCCCUGUAGUC